This 815-nucleotide long non-coding RNA is filed under the name Gossypium barbadense (sea-island cotton). Its description in RNAcentral is "long non-coding RNA (GBAR_LNC017454)". Lineage: Eukaryota; Viridiplantae; Streptophyta; Magnoliopsida; Malvales; Malvaceae. The record is from RNAcentral.
AAAUUGCAGCAAAAUGAUUGUGAAGUUGUGUAAAAAAGCUCACUUCCUGCCAUGGAUCCUCAAUGCUUGUCUGUUCCUCUUCUUGACACCGGAUUUGGCAACCUUCAGGCUUCGGUUCACAGCACUCAACCUUGCUAGGGCAGCUUUUGUUAAAUCCGGCCUGUAGUAGUUGUCUGUCACCUGCAAUUUUUGAAUAGUAGAUCAUUAGGAAAAAAUUCAUUAAAAGAACGGUAACGAUGUGAUACAAAUUGUAAUAGAUGAUGGGAAAAGAUAAAACCACUCAAGCAGAACUUCAGAAUAUCAUUGAAAAUGGAUACUACACAAAUGAGAUCCAGAAUAUCGUUGAUAAUCUAUAUCCAAAAAGGCUACUCAAAGCAUACAUAUACACGAUAAUGCCUAAAGUAGCUACAUAAGCAUUGAAGAGGAUCAUAUGGAAGCUCAGAAGCCAAGCGUAACAAGUACAUUUCAACGAAGAAUCCAACAAAUAGAUCCUUCUUAUAUGUUAUUGCUUCAUCACCGCAAGAUAAAACCCUCGAAAAAAUUUAAACUCAGAAGCCGGAAACACCAUACCAGUUAACAAUCAUUCGAGUUAACAAGAAUUUCAGUGUUUAAAUCUUUAAAUGAUCUAUUUUUUUUCCUAAUUUACGGAAGAGAAUCACAGCAAUUACAGAUAGCAAACCUAGUAAAAUAAUAAACAGACAAGUUUCGAAAUUUGAUUUCCUCAUUACCUGGUUUUUGACUGCCUUGGCCAUCCUAGGGAACUCCUUUUUCAUGACAGACUUAUGGAGCAAGCUCGAAGGCUUGUUCUGCUUCUU